RNAcentral lists this ribosomal RNA (468 nucleotides) under uncultured bacterium. Its description in RNAcentral is "partial 16S ribosomal RNA". It matches the Rfam family "Bacterial small subunit ribosomal RNA", at positions 28 to 507 of the family's 1533-position model. The record is from RNAcentral.
GACGAACGCUGGCGGCGUGCUUAUCACAUGCCAGUCGAACGGAAAGGCCCUGCUUUUGUGGGGUGCUCGAGUGGCGAACGGGUGAGUAACACGUGAGUAACCUGCCCUUGACUUUGGGAUAACUUCAGGAAACUGGGGCUAAUACCGGAUAGGAGCUCCUGCUGCAUGGUGGGGGUUGGAAAGUUUCGGCGGGUGGGGAUGGACUCGCGGCUUAUCAGCUUGUUGGUGGGGUAGUGGCUUACCAAGGCUUUGACGGGUAGCCGGCCUGAGAGGGUGACCGGCCACAUUGGGACUGGGAUACGGCCCAGACUCCUACGGGAGGCAGCAGUGGGGAAUAUUGCACAAUGGGCGGAAGCCUGAUGCAGCAACGCCGCGUGCGGGAUGACGGCCUUCGGGUUGUAAACCGCUUUCGCCUGUGACGAAGCGUGAGUGACGGUAAUGGGUAAAGAAGCACCGGCUAACUACGUG